RNAcentral lists this ribosomal RNA (568 nucleotides) under uncultured bacterium. RNAcentral describes it as "bacterial SSU rRNA". It matches the Rfam family "Bacterial small subunit ribosomal RNA", at positions 63 to 645 of the family's 1533-position model. The record is from RNAcentral.
UUAGCUUGCUAAGAGUGGAAAUGUUGAUGACUUAGUGGCGGACGGGUGAGUAACGCGUGGGUAACCUGCCAUAUACAGGGGGAUAACACUUAGAAAUAGGUGCUAAUACCGCAUAAGCGCACAGUACUGCAUGAGACAGUGUGAAAAACUACGGUGGUAUAUGAUGGACCCGCGUCUGAUUAGCUGGUUGGUGAGGUAACGGCCCACCAAGGCGACGAUCAGUAGCCGGCCUGAGAGGGUGGACGGCCACAUUGGGACUGAGACACGGCCCAAACUCCUACGGGAGGCAGCAGUGGGGAAUAUUGGACAAUGGGGGAAACCCUGAUCCAGCGACGCCGCGUGAGUGAAGAAGUAUUUCGGUAUGUAAAGCUCUAUCAGCAGGGAAGAAAAAAAUGACGGUACCUGACAAGAAGCCCCGGCUAACUACGUGCCAGCAGCCGCGGUAAUACGUAGGGGGCAAGCGUUAUCCGGAUUUACUGGGUGUAAAGGGAGCGUAGACGGCAGGGCAAGUCUGAUGUGAAAGGUCGGGGCCCAACCCCGGGACUGCAUUGGAAACUGUCCGGCUGGA